CUUCUCCAGAACCACUGGGCCAAGAAAGAUGAAACUGAUGUAGAAACAUCUUCAGAGAAGACGAAUGUCACCUUCGUCAGAAGCAGAUUUUUACUGCCAGGCUGGCUUUGACCAAAAAGGUUUUGAGAUCAAAUUUAUAUCAGACUAUAAAAACAUCCAAAUGGCUAGCUCAGAUGUGGAAAUGGAAUCGGAC
This is a long non-coding RNA of Saccostrea echinata, 193 nucleotides long. RefSeq lists it as uncharacterized. The transcript has 3 exons. The record is from RefSeq and is a predicted model, not a curated record. NCBI's taxonomy places the organism in Eukaryota, Metazoa, Mollusca, Bivalvia, Ostreida, Ostreidae.